CCGCGCUAAGCGGGGAGCUGGCGAUGCCCUGUACCUGCGAUCGCCUAGCAGGGCUGAAUCCCCCGCCCGAGGCGGUCUGCGUUCGGUGGAAGCCGGUGCGGAAGCGUUGAUGGUCUGGUCCCGGGCAAUCCGGCCCCGUGAAUCGUGUCAGAACCGAGAGGUGGCAGCACUAAGCGGGUAACUGGAUGUGCUUUCGGGGUAGCCGAACCGGAGCCGAAACGCCGGAAGUUCGCCGGGGGCGGUUCCGUCGAAGGCGGGGUGCGCGG
This 266-nucleotide signal recognition particle RNA is filed under the name Rubrobacter sp. RNAcentral describes it as "signal recognition particle sRNA large type". It matches the Rfam family "Bacterial large signal recognition particle RNA". From Rfam's summary of the family: The signal recognition particle (SRP) is a universally conserved ribonucleoprotein involved in the co-translational targeting of proteins to membranes. The record is from RNAcentral. Lineage: Bacteria; Bacillati; Actinomycetota; Rubrobacteria; Rubrobacterales; Rubrobacteraceae. RNAcentral also lists the same sequence under 1 other name.